GAUGUGUGGUCAAGCGAGCGAAAGCAUGUGGGGGAUGCCUGGGCACACAGAGGCGAUGAAGGCCGUGGUAAGCUGCGAUAAGCUCGGGGGAGCGGCAAACACGCAUUGAGCCCGAGAUGGCCGAAUGGGGAAACCCGGCCGGUGGCAACACCGGUCAUCCGCGCAAGCGGAAGCGAACCUGGGGAACUGAAACAUCUCAGUACCCAGAGGAAGAGAAAUCAACCGAGAUGCCCCAAGUAGCGGCGAGCGAACGGGGUACAGCCCAAACCGGAAGCCUUCGGGCCUCCGGGGUUGUAGGACCCACGGACGCGACAUGGAACGCUAGACGAAGUCCCCUGGGAAGGGGCGCCACAGACGGUGAUAGCCCGGUAGUCGACAGCCAGUACGUGUCGUAGUGGAGUUCCUGAGUAACGCCCGACCCGAGAAAUCGGGCGUGAACCUGGGGGGACCACCCUCCAAGGCUAAAGACUCCUGUGUGACCGAUAGUGGACGAGUACCGUGAGGGACAGGUGAAAAGCACCCCUGUGCGGGGAGUGAAAUAGUUCCUGAAACCACAUGCUUACAAGCGGUAGGAGGGCGGCUCCGGGCAACCGGAGAGCGCCUGACUGCGUGCCUUUUGCAUUAUGAUCCGGCGAGUUACUCCUCGGACGCGAGGCUAAGCGUUUAUGGCGCGGAGCCAGAGCGAAAGCGAGUCCUGUAACGAGGGCGCUUGGAGUGUCCGGGGGUACGACCCGAAGCCAGGGCGAUCUACCCAUGAGCAGGGUGAAGCUGCGGUAACACGUAGUGGAGGCCCGAACCGGUGUGGGUUGAAAACCGCUCGGAUGACUUGUGGGUAGGGGUGAAAGGCCAAUCAAGCCUGGAGAUAGCUGGUUCUCACCGAAAUCUAUUGAGGUAGAGCCUCAGAGCGUGGUUCGCGGGGGUAGAGCGACUGGAUGGGCGCGGGCUGGCGAAGCUGGUACCAACCCCAACCAAACUCCGAAUACCGUCGAACUGGACUCUGGGAGGCAGUCGUUGAGCGAUAAUGUCCAACGGCGAGAGGGAAAGAACCCAGAGCCACAGCUAAGGCCCCGAAGUGGCCGCUGAGUAUAGCGAAGGAUGUGUUUCUGCCGUGACAACGAGGAGGUUGGCUUAGAAGCAGCCAUUCCUUUAAAGAGUGCGUAAUAGCUCACUCGUCCAGCGGGAAUGCGCCGAGAAUGGUCGGGAUUAAGCGGCCCGCCGAAGCUUGGCCUGCAGACGUCGUCUGCGGGGUAGGUGAGCGUUCCGGGAGGGAUGAAGGGACCGGGGAACCGUUGUCCUGGACCGACCGGAAGUGAGGAUGCCGGAAUGAGUACGCGCAAAUGCGGGUGAAAACCCCGCACACCGUAAGCCCAAGGAUUCCUGCGCCAUGGCAAUCAGCGCAGGGUGAGGCGGACCCUAAGGCGAGGCCCCAGAGGCGUAGCCGAUGGACAGCAGGUCAAGAUUCCUGCCCCGCUUCAGGUACGUCAUGACCCACCAGGGGACCGUGGAACGAAGGGCCGGCGGCUUUGUGGAUGGCCGUCCAACCGCGUAGGCGCAAGCCGAGACGGGAGUGCAAGGUGAGGGGUUCGCCCCGAUCCGAGCGGUCUGGAGUCGACACGCGAGAAAAGCCUGGUGUGGCAGUACCUGGAACGUCCGUACCGUAAACCGACACAGGUGGGCGAGGCGAGCAGCCUCAGGUGAACGAGUGAAACGUGGUCAAGGAACUCGGCAUAUUGAUCCCGUAACUUCGGAAGAAGGGAUGCCUGAUGGGGUGAGGCGUACAGCGCAGCUCCGUCAGGUCGCAGCGAAUCGGCCCAAGCGACUGUUUAGCAAAAACACAGGUGUGUGCAAAGCCGCGUAAGGCGCCGUAUACACACUGACGCCUGCCCGGUGCCGGAAGGUUAAGGGGAGAGGUUAGCCUGGGGUAACCCGGGCGACGCCUUGAGCCGAAGCCCCGGUAAACGGCGGCCGUAACUAUAACGGUCCUAAGGUAGCGAAAUUCCUUGUCGGGUAAGUUCCGACCUGCACGAAUGGCGUAACGACUUGGGCACUGUCUCGACCACGUGCUCGGCGAAAUUGCAGUCUCGGUGAGGAUUCCGAGUCCCCGCAGCAGGACAAAAAGACCCCAUGCACCUUUACUGUAGCUUGUCAUUGGACGUCGCUCGAAACUGUGUAGCAUAGGUGGGAGCCGUUGAGGCCCGGGCGCCAGCUCGGGCGGAGGCAUCAGUGAAAUACCACCCUGGUUCGUGUAACGUCCUCACCAGUUUGGGCAAACCCCAGCUGGGACCGUGGCAGGUGGGCAGUUUGACUGGGGCGGUCGCCUCCGAAACAGUAACGGAGGCGCGCGCAAGGUCCCCUCAGCGCGGUCGGUACUCGCGCUUCUAGAGUGUAACGGCAGAAGGGGGCCUGACGGUGAGAUCGACGGAUCGAGCCGCCACGAAAGUGGGCCGUAGUGAUCCGGUAGCCCGGUGUGGAGCGGCUAUCGCGCAACGGAUAAAAGGUACGCUGGGGAUAACAGGCUUAUCGCGCCCGAGAGUUCACAUCGACGGCGCGGUUUGGCACCUCGAUGUCGGCUUAUCACAUCCUGGGGCUGGAGAAGGUCCCAAGGGUCCGGCUGUUCGCCGGUUAAAGUGGUACAUGAGCUGGGUUCAGAACGUCGUGAGACAGUUCGGUCUGUAUCCGCUGUGGGCGUUGGAGCAUUGAUGGGUGCGGACUCUAGUACGAGAGGACCGAGUCGGACGACCCGCUCGUGUCCCGGUUGCCUCGCCAGAGGCAACGCCGGGUAGCGAUGGUCGGUGGCGAUAACCGCUGAAAGCAUCUAAGUGGGAAGCGCCCCCAAAGAUGAAUGCUCCCUGGAGCUUCGAGCUCCCUCAAGGGCCGGGGAAGACUACCCCGUCGAUAGGCCACACGUGGAAGCGCCGCGAGGCGUUCCGAGCGCAGUGGUCCUAAUCGCCCGUGCGGCUUGACUACUUCCAAGCAAGCAGCG
RNAcentral lists this ribosomal RNA (2983 nucleotides) under Gemmatimonadota bacterium. RNAcentral describes it as "Gemmatimonadetes bacterium (groundwater metagenome) 23S ribosomal RNA". It matches the Rfam family "Bacterial large subunit ribosomal RNA". Lineage: Bacteria; Pseudomonadati; Gemmatimonadota. The record is from RNAcentral.